RNAcentral lists this ribosomal RNA (774 nucleotides) under uncultured Neocallimastigales. RNAcentral's name for it is "partial large subunit ribosomal RNA". It matches the Rfam family "Eukaryotic large subunit ribosomal RNA", at positions 26 to 634 of the family's 3401-position model. Lineage: Eukaryota; Fungi; Neocallimastigomycota; Neocallimastigomycetes; Neocallimastigales. The record is from RNAcentral.
CGCAUCUGUGCAUGCAGCAUAUCAAUAAGCGGAGGAAAAGAAACUAACAAGGAUUCCCCUAGUAACGGCGAGUGAAGCGGGAAGAGCUCAAAUUUGAAAUCUUAAAGGGUUUCCCUUUACGAAUUGUAGUUUAAAGAAGUGUUUUCUGUUGAGGUUUUGGUAAAAGUUCUUUGGAAUAGGACAUCAUAGAGGGUGAGAAUCCCGUAUUUGACCUUUACUUUCAACUUUGUGAUACACUUUCAAAGAGUCGGAUUGUUUGGGAAUGCAGUCCAAAAUGGGUGGUAAAUUUCAUCUAAAGCUAAAUAUUGGCGAGAGACCGAUAGCGAACAAGUACCGUGAGGGAAAGAUGAAAAGAACUUUGAAAAGAGAGUUAAACAGUACGUGAAAUUGUCAAAAGGGAAGCGUUUGACACCAGUGUUGUUUUUCUGAAAAUCAAUUAAAGAACUGUUUAUGCUAAGCUGUUUAGACUUUAUCAGCUAUCUGUUUAGUUUUAGGCUUUUCUUUAAUGCACUUUUCAGUUAACAAGUCAACAUCAAUUUCUUUUGCUGUAAAAAAGCUUGAGGAAGGUGGCUUGAGAUUCGUCUUAAGUGUUUAUAGCCUCUUGCCUAUGCAGUCGGAGAGAUUGAGGUCUGCAGCGUAGAUCCUUCGGGGCUAAAUGCAUUUGUGCUAAGUUAUAGCAUUUUAUAGACAACUUGUUGACUAUGAUUUGUCUUGUAGCUUACUCGCUUAUGUUAUUUUACCUACGCUUAGGAUGUUGAACGCGCACAGAGUCUC